Molecule: unclassified non-coding RNA, 81 nt
Filed under: Pseudomonas corrugata
Lineage: Bacteria; Pseudomonadati; Pseudomonadota; Gammaproteobacteria; Pseudomonadales; Pseudomonadaceae
Source: RNAcentral
GUAGGAGCUGCCGAAGGCUGCGAUCUUUGAUCUUGAUUCUUUAUCGCCUGGAAAAAGAUCGCAGCCUUCGGCAGCUCCUAC